CAGAACGAACGCUGGCGGCAUGCCUAACACAUGCAAGUCGAACGAACCCUUCGGGGUUAGUGGCGCACGGGUGCGUAACGCGUGGGAAUCUGCCCUUUGCUUCGGAAUAACAGUUAGAAAUGACUGCUAAUACCGGAUAAUGUCGCAAGACCAAAGAUUUAUCGGCAAAGGAUGAGCCCGCGUAAGAUUAGCUAGUUGGUGGGGUAAUGGCCUACCAAGGCGACGAUCUUUAGCUGGUCUGAGAGGAUGAUCAGCCACACUGGGACUGAGACACGGCCCAGACUCCUACGGGAGGCAGCAGUGGGGAAUAUUGGACAAUGGGCGAAAGCCUGAUCCAGCAAUGCCGCGUGAGUGAUGAAGGCCUUAGGGUUGUAAAGCUCUUUUACCAGGGAUGAUAAUGACAGUACCUGGAGAAUAAGCUCCGGCUAACUCCGUG
This 436-nucleotide ribosomal RNA is filed under the name uncultured bacterium. RNAcentral's name for it is "bacterial SSU rRNA". It matches the Rfam family "Bacterial small subunit ribosomal RNA", at positions 25 to 507 of the family's 1533-position model. The record is from RNAcentral.